RNAcentral lists this non-coding RNA (29 nucleotides) under Mus musculus (house mouse). Lineage: Eukaryota; Metazoa; Chordata; Mammalia; Rodentia; Muridae. The record is from RNAcentral.
UUGAAAUGUAAAUGCAUGUCUUAAGCUUA